UACGGGGGGGGCAAGCGUUGUUCGGAAUUACUGGGCGUAAAGGGUUCGUAGGUGGCCAACUAAGUCAGACGUGAAAUCCCUCAGCUUAACUGGGGAACUGCGUCUGAGACUGAUUGGCUCGAGGACAGGAGAGGAUCGCGGAAUUCCCGGUGUAGAGGUGAAAUUCGUAGAUAUCGGGAGGAACACCAGUGGCGAAGGCGGCGAUCUGGGAAGAUACUGACGCUGAGGUGCGAAAGCGUGGGGAGCAAACAGG
RNAcentral lists this ribosomal RNA (253 nucleotides) under uncultured bacterium. RNAcentral describes it as "partial 16S ribosomal RNA". It matches the Rfam family "Bacterial small subunit ribosomal RNA", at positions 524 to 776 of the family's 1533-position model. The record is from RNAcentral.